GUCAUUUCUGUCGGCUAUAAGAAAUAUCAAAGGGCGAAUAAAAUGAAAACGGAACCAAUUCACGCUGCUCGUUUGCGCUGUACCGGACCGUUUAAGGUUAGAUAGCGCCGCGCGAGCGUUGAGAGAUCCGGUGAAGAGGGAAUACACAGCAGAAUUAUCAACAUCGCUGCGAGAUCUAAGUUUGUAAUACAGUGUAAACUUUGCAAAUUUGCUCACAGUAGCAGAGAGGUCCUCCUGAAACACUACAGGUUUCACCACUAUCAAGGGCGAUCCUGGCAGCAGCCUUGCCUGUAUACUGACUGCAUCUGCACUUUCAAAACUAUAGGAAAGGGAUGCAUUACAGGAGAAAUUGAAGAAGAAACAUCUCAACAUGGCAUUUGUUGACUCGAAAAUGGAAUUGACAUUCUCAUUGAGAAGGAAGGAGAUAGUUGAAGAAGAACCUCUUGUAGCUGAUGUACUAAGACAAUGGCCAGCAUUGUUUUUUGGAACAUCAGGUAAGUUUUAAAGAGUAACUUGUGAUUUUUUUUUUCCCUGUAAGAUGAAUAGACUUACUGUACACUUGCUGUAUUCUUAUUGUUAAUUCUGAUUUUUUUUUUUUUUUAGAUAUGUGCUGAGUUUUACAGAAUCACACAAACAAACCUUAAGAGUAAAUUUUUCUCUUAUCUGGAUGAAUAUACACCGCGGAUGAUCAAGUUGUUUAGGGUACUCGGCGGAGCAUAUGGAGAUAAUAUUAAGACCCUCCUAGACCAACUUGAUGAUCAGACCUCCGAUGUGCUUGCUCAUAGAAAGGCUACAGCUCUCAAAGGUCUACCUUUGUUUAUGAGGGAAAAGUCUGAACAUUUCCUGAAGACUUGCCUGGACACAGAGCCAGAAGAAAAUCAUACAAAAGGGAAUAAAGAUGGG
This is a long non-coding RNA of Sinocyclocheilus anshuiensis, 903 nucleotides long. The record is from Ensembl. Lineage: Eukaryota; Metazoa; Chordata; Actinopteri; Cypriniformes; Cyprinidae.